RNAcentral lists this long non-coding RNA (206 nucleotides) under Lathyrus oleraceus (garden pea). Its description in RNAcentral is "Pisum sativum (pea) long non-coding RNA (PSAT_LNC001960)". Lineage: Eukaryota; Viridiplantae; Streptophyta; Magnoliopsida; Fabales; Fabaceae. The record is from RNAcentral.
GGUUUCUCUCCAGGUUUUGUCCAGGGUUUUGUUCCAAGGAAACCUCAGAGUGUUUUUUGCUUCCCUUCCUUUUUCUGUCUCUUUUGUUUCAAUGAAACUCUAGUAUUUAUAGGCUAAUAUUGGUAGCUUAGUGGGCUUUUGAGAGAGGUCAAAGUUUGAGAUUAUUUAUUUAUUUAUUUUUUCGUUUUUCGUUUUUUUUUUGUUUU